This is a long non-coding RNA of Mercurialis annua (annual mercury), 802 nucleotides long. RefSeq lists it as uncharacterized. Lineage: Eukaryota; Viridiplantae; Streptophyta; Magnoliopsida; Malpighiales; Euphorbiaceae. The transcript has 3 exons. The record is from RefSeq and is a predicted model, not a curated record.
UAUCUGAUUUUAAUUUAUUUCCUGAUUUCCUCUUUAAUUUUCCAAUCAUUGGAUUUCUUUGAUUUUGUUGACGGUAAUAAUCGUCCCUUAUGUCUUCCACGAGGAGGAGGAUCGUUAUUGCGGUUUCUCACGCCCUAAUCCUUUGAUCAGGUAUGUGUUUGAUUUAGUGAUUAUUUUAAGGCAGGUUUUUUAUGUAAAGGAUUAGAUUUUUGAUAUGUGAAAUAUCAAAUGUUUGGUCCAGAAGCGCUGAUUUGGCCAUCAAAUGGUUUACAGGAAAAAGAGUACCCUCGUUGAAGGCUUUGGCUCCAAAUUUGUAUAAAGAUUACUAGGGAGAAUUGUGUUGAUGCAUUGUUUGCACCGAGUCAUGGGAGCUUGAGAUUUAAAGGGUUGUCUAAGGAAGUGAGAGCUAUCGAGGUAUUAAGGGAGAUUGAAGAGCAAUGGAGCGAUAGAGCAAUAGAGAAAGCGAAGAAGAUUUUGCAAAUGACGAGAGGACGAGAUGAGGAAGAUGGAGAUUGUAAUUGGGAAGGUAUCCUGGAAUCAGGCGAAUUCAGUCGGACUCGGUAUUAAGUUUCUCCUGGCGUUAGAAAAAAUAGGAGGAGAGGUGCUAUUCCUGUCAAAGAAAUUGCAUGGAGUUGAAGAGUUAAUUGGGACUGUAUCUUUGCUUUUAUCUCUGAAUUUAUGGUGUGAUGGGUUUUGUUUUGACGACCUAGAAUUAUCAUUUAUGUUGCUUCUUUAAGUUGCAUACAAGAUUUUUUUCAUCAUAUACCAUCUACUAUAUAUAUUGGCUUAAUUUACUUUCUUA